Molecule: ribosomal RNA, 427 nt
Filed under: uncultured archaeon
Lineage: Archaea
Description: bacterial SSU rRNA
Rfam family: Archaeal small subunit ribosomal RNA
Source: RNAcentral
UACCAGCUCUCCGAGUGGUAGGGAUGAUUAUUGGGCUUAAAGCGUCCGUAGCCGGCUUAGCAAGUCUCCUGUUAAAUUCAGCGACCUAAUCGUUGAGCCGCGGGAGACACUACUAGGCUAGGAGGCGGGAGAGGCCGACGGUAUUCUCGGGGUAGGGGUGAAAUCCUAUAAUCCCGGGAGGACCACCAGUGGCGAAGGCUGUCGGCUAGAACGCGCUCGACGGUGAGGGACGAAAGCUGGGGGAGCGAACCGGAUUAGAUACCCGGGUAGUCCCAGCUGUAAACGAUGCGGGCUAGGUGUUGGGGUGGCUACGAGCCACUUCAGUGCCGCAGGGAAGCCAUUAAGCCCGCCGCCUGGGGAGUACGGCCGCAAGGCUGAAACUUAAGGAAUUGGCGGGGAGCACCACAAGGCGUGAAGCUUGCGGUUC